GCACUAUUGAAGAGUCCCACACUAGGACGAAAUAGCUGUCCAGUGC
This is a non-coding RNA of Schistosoma mattheei, 46 nucleotides long. The record is from Rfam. NCBI's taxonomy places the organism in Eukaryota, Metazoa, Platyhelminthes, Trematoda, Strigeidida, Schistosomatidae.